AACGAACGCUGGCGGCAGGCCUAACACAUGCAAGUCGAACGCCCUAGCAAUAGGGAGUGGCAGACGGGUGAGUAACACGUGGGAACCUUCCCUAUAGUACGGAAUAUACCAGGGAAACUUGGAGCAAUACCGUAUACGCCCGAGAGGGGAAAGAUUUAUCGCUAUAGGAUGGGCCCGCGUAGGAUUAGCUAGUUGGUGAGGUAAUGGCUCACCAAGGCGACGAUCCUUAGCUGGUUUGAGAGAACGACCAGCCACACUGGGACUGAGACACGGCCCAGACUCCUACGGGGGGCGA
This 295-nucleotide ribosomal RNA is filed under the name uncultured bacterium. Its description in RNAcentral is "partial 16S ribosomal RNA". It matches the Rfam family "Bacterial small subunit ribosomal RNA", at positions 29 to 351 of the family's 1533-position model. The record is from RNAcentral.